This 1173-nucleotide long non-coding RNA is filed under the name Equus caballus (horse). Its description in RNAcentral is "lncRNA (ENSECAG00000057957.1)". Lineage: Eukaryota; Metazoa; Chordata; Mammalia; Perissodactyla; Equidae. The record is from RNAcentral.
CAGGAAGUCACCAGCAGAGGAACAAGCAGGGCAUGCCAUUCAGAGAGAACAGCAGGAACAGAAACACAGGAGGAGGAAAGAAUGCUGAUCAUUUCAGCAUGGAUAGAGUAAGGAGUACCUGGAGGAAAAGCAAAGAGUGAGGUUGAAGGAGGAUAACCUGUUUUGUUUUCAAAUGCUGAGUGGAUCUGUAUAUUACGCCGUUGGAAAUCAGACAUGGAGUUCAGAAGAAGACUGGCCCUGAGCUAACAUCCGUGCCCAUCUUCCUCUACUUUAUAUGUGGGACGCCUACCACAGCAUGGCUUGCCAAGCAGUGCCACGUCUGCACCCAGGAUCCGAACCUGUGAACUCUGGGGCACCGAAGCAGAACGUGUGAACUUGACCACUGCACCACUGGGCCAGCCCCCAUAAACAUUAUUUAAAUGUCACCAAGAAAGACAGAAAAAAGGAAAGAAAAACAUUGCCAUUUAAACUAUGACACAAUGCCUUCUUACAUAGAAUUUUUAUUUUAUCUUUAUUUAAAGAGCUCUUUUAGACUUAUUUAGACAUAAAUCAAAUAACACAUUUGGACAUAUAUAAAAGGAAAAACAAAAGCAAAAUAAGUUGUUAAGGUAGUUCUAAAACUUCUUCAUGUUCAGAACAUUUUCUGCAACAGUUUUUGACUCAGAGUUGUCAAUAUCCAUGUUUUUUGAAACAAUAUUAUCCUCCCUGCUAUCAAGUAUUUUGAUGAUGCUGUAUUUCUUAAAACAGUGCUCAACUCUUAUGUCUAGGAUUUUCUUCAAAGACACUGACAUCAUUAUGUAACUUUUGAUGCUAGCAGUUUUUUGAGCCUUCCAAAGAUAUUGAUGUAAAGUUUUCAGACAACAACCAGUGGUUAUAUCCCUUAUUCAGAUAGUCUUUAAAUAGUUUGUCCAGAAAUGAAAUCAGUAACAAUAACCAAGUUCACACAUGCUCAGGCAAUGACAAUAACAAUGAUGUCGUGACUGACGCCUGGCUGACAGUGCUUAAAGGACACAUCCUGAUUUCAGAAAAGCGAAAAUGUACUUCCUACAAUGGAAGAAACAUAGAGCCGUGGCAAUCAAGGGGAACUUUUCCUUUUUCUUUUCUAGAACUUAACCAAAAUUUGGUCAUCAGCAAGAGUAAUGCUGCUCAAGGUAUUUGAGCAGUAAAAGUAAA